CAACCUGAGAGUUUGAUCCUGGCUCAGAACGAACGCUGGCGGCAGGCCUAACACAUGCAAGUCGCAGGGGAAGCAUGUCUUCGGAUGUGUGGAGACUGGCGCACGGGUGAGUAACGCGUGGGUAUCUGCCCUGGGGUGGGGGAUAACCGCUGGAAACGGCGGCUAAUACCGCAUACGCCCUUUGGGGGAAAGCCGAGAGGCGCUCUGGGAGGAGCCCGCGUCCGAUUAGCUUGUUGGUGGGGUAACGGCUCACCAAGGCUACGAUCGGUAGCUGGUCUGAGAGGAUGAUCAGCCACACUGGGACUGAGACACGGCCCAGACUCCUACGGGAGGCAGCAGUGGGGAAUAUUGGACAAUGGGCGCAAGCCUGAUCCAGCCAUGCCGCGUGAGUGAAGAAGGCCUUAGGGUUGUAAAGCUCUUUCACCCGUGAAGAUGAUGACGGUAGCGGGAGAAGAAGCCCCGGCUAACUCCGUGCCAGCAGCCGCGGUAAUACGGAGGGGGCGAGCGUUGUUCGGAAUUACUGGGCGUAAAGGGCGCGUAGGCGGGCGAUCAAGU
RNAcentral lists this ribosomal RNA (555 nucleotides) under Rhodospirillales bacterium. RNAcentral's name for it is "bacterial SSU rRNA". It matches the Rfam family "Bacterial small subunit ribosomal RNA", at positions 1 to 588 of the family's 1533-position model. Lineage: Bacteria; Pseudomonadati; Pseudomonadota; Alphaproteobacteria; Rhodospirillales. The record is from RNAcentral.